GAUGAAGAACGUAGCGAAAUCCGAUAAGUAAUGUGAAUUGCAGAAUUCAGUGAAUCAUCGAAUCUUUGAACGCACAUUGCGCCCGUCAGUAUUCUGGCGGGCAUGCCUGUUCGAGCGUCAUUACGCCCCUCAAGUCCCCUGUGGACUUGGUGUUGGGGAUCGGCGAGGCUGGUUUUCCAGCACAGCCGUCCCUUAAAUUAAUUGGCGGUCUCGCCGUGGCCCUCCUCUGCGCAGUAGUAAAACACUCGCAACAGGAGCCCGGCGCGGUCCACUGCCGUAAAACCCCCCAACUUUUUAUAGUUGACCUCGAAUCAGGUAGGACUACCCGCUGAACUUAAGCAUAUCAAUAAGCGGAGGA
RNAcentral lists this unclassified non-coding RNA (358 nucleotides) under soil metagenome. RNAcentral's name for it is "partial contains 5.8S ribosomal RNA, internal transcribed spacer 2, and large subunit ribosomal RNA". The stretch from base 1 to 120 matches the Rfam family "5.8S ribosomal RNA", at positions 35 to 154 of the family's 154-position model. The record is from RNAcentral.